UCUCUGGUAGCUCAACGGUUAGAGCGAUUGACUGUUAAUCAAUAGGCUGUUGGUUCGAAUCCAACUCAGAGAGU
Molecule: transfer RNA, 74 nt
Filed under: Cavernulicola chilensis
Lineage: Eukaryota; Rhodophyta; Bangiophyceae; Cavernulicolales; Cavernulicolaceae
Description: tRNA-Asn
Rfam family: tRNA
About the family: Transfer RNA (tRNA) molecules are approximately 80 nucleotides in length. Their secondary structure includes four short double-helical elements and three loops (D, anti-codon, and T loops). Further hydrogen bonds mediate the characteristic L-shaped molecular structure. tRNAs have two regions of fundamental functional importance: the anti-codon, which is responsible for specific mRNA codon recognition, and the 3' end, to which the tRNAs corresponding amino acid is attached (by aminoacyl-tRNA synthetases). tRNAs cope with the degeneracy of the genetic code in two manners: having more than one tRNA (with a specific anti-codon) for a particular amino acid; and 'wobble' base-pairing, i.e. permitting non-standard base-pairing at the 3rd anti-codon position.
Source: RNAcentral